GACAGAGGAGGCGAGCGUUAUCCGGAAUGAUUGGGCGUAAAGCGUUCGCAGGUGGCUGUUCAAGUCUGCUGUCAAAGACCGGGGCUUAACCCCAGAAAGGCAGUGGAAACUGAACGGCUGGAGUGCAGAUCGGGUAGAGGGAAUUCCCAGUGUAGCGGUGAAAUGCGUAGAGAUUGGGAAGAACACCGGUGGCGAAAGCGCUCUGCUGGACUGCAACUGACACUGAGGGACGAAAGCUAGGGGAGCGAAAGGG
This 253-nucleotide ribosomal RNA is filed under the name uncultured bacterium. Its description in RNAcentral is "partial 16S ribosomal RNA". It matches the Rfam family "Bacterial small subunit ribosomal RNA", at positions 524 to 776 of the family's 1533-position model. The record is from RNAcentral.